This 496-nucleotide ribosomal RNA is filed under the name uncultured bacterium. RNAcentral's name for it is "partial 16S ribosomal RNA". It matches the Rfam family "Bacterial small subunit ribosomal RNA", at positions 30 to 523 of the family's 1533-position model. The record is from RNAcentral.
AUUGAACGCUGGCGGAAUGCUUUACACAUGCAAGUCGAACGGUAGAGGGGGCAACCCCUUGAGAGUGGCGAACGGGUGAGUAAUGUAUCGGAACGUGCCCAGUCGUGGGGGAUAACGUAGUGAAAAUUACGCUAAUACCGCAUAUGAUCUAUGGAUGAAAGCGGGGGAUCGCAAGACCUCGCGCGAUUGGAGCGGCCGAUAUCAGAUUAGGUAGUUGGUAGGGUAAAGGCCUACCAAGCCAACGAUCUGUAGCUGGUCUGAGAGGACGACCAGCCACACUGGAACUGAGACACGGUCCAGACUCCUACGGGAGGCAGCAGUGGGGAAUUUUGGACAAUGGGCGAAAGCCUGAUCCAGCCAUUCCGCGUGCAGGAUGAAGGCCCUCGGGUUGUAAACUGCUUUUGUACAGAACGAAAAGGUUUCUAUUAAUACUAGGAGCUCAUGACGGUACUGUAAGAAUAAGCACCGGCUAACUACGUGCCAGCCGCCGCGGUAA